CUUUGGAGUCUAGCUAACAGAGCAUCUUUGAUGCACUCCUAAGAGAAGACUACCUGAAAGGUGUGUACACUGGUCUAGCAGUUGAGGUCAGCUAAUGUUCCAUCUAUCUUCUGUCAUGUGGAGGAGUUCUUGCUCUGUCACCUAGUUUGGAAUGCAAGGGCACAAUCAUAGCUCACUGCAGCCUCAUACUCCUGGACUCAAAUGAUCCUCCUGCCUCACCCUCCUGAGUAGUUGGGACUACAGGCUGUACUGGUUAUUGUAGAUCCAAAAAUCCAAGGAUACAGACUUUGUCCUCAAAUUAUUUACUGCAUAGUGGGUGGCCUGAAAAGCAAACAUAAGCACUAAAUAUGGAAAAAUGCAAAAGGCAAUGGGACCGUAAAAGGAACAGAUGUCUUCUAAGACGUCUUGAUCAACUGACCCCAAAGCCAGAGGGUACCAGGUCAAAAAGCAAGAAAACAAACAAUAUUGACAUUAGAGAGAAGAAAAGUUUCUAUAGAAAACCUAUUACACUGUGGUAUAAAUCAAGAUAAACCUGCAGACAUCUAUUUUAAUUUGGAAGUCUGGAAAAGUUCAAGAUUGGCCAUCUGCAGCUGGUGAGAGCCUCAGGCUGCUUCCCCUCAUGGUGGAAGGUAAAGGGGAGCUGGUGUGUGCAGAGAUUACAUGCUUUUCUAGGUCAUCAUUCUAGGCUUUGUUGAAGCAUGCAUUUUUGGCAUGAGGGUGGCAGCCUUUGCACUGUGUGCAUGGCUGAGGAGUUAGGAUCUGGAGGGUGAUGAAAGCAAAGGUGCUGCUGGUUACUCUUGGUUCAUCUAGCAAUAGAUGAUCUGAAUGUUAGAGUUCACCAAAUAUUGUUCCUGGGCAUUCUUUGCUCUACCAAAUCAACUUUCUCCAUGAGGGAGCUGAUGCAAGUCACCCCACAUUCUCUGCCAUGGCCAGCUCUAUAUUCUAAGAGAACCAAUGGCUCUACCCAACAUAUUCUUCUCAUCACAGAUGACAGAGACACAAGGAGCCAAGACAGAUCAUUCAAGUAUAUUCAUUGCCUCUAUCUUCAUCCCAUUAAAUAACAUCCCACCAACCAAAGCAAGUUAUCUGCAUAAGAAUAAAUAUUCCACCUACUCUACUGCAAGGCCCUGCAAGAGUCAUAAGACAAAAAGAUCCUCUGUGGACAGCACCCAAGAUGGAAACAACUGACAGUCUACGGCCAGGGCUAUACUCUGGUGAAACUGAAGGGUGUCUGCAUGGAAGUGUCUGACUACCACCAUCCACUCAGGCAAAUGCAUUUGUUUCCCUCUAUUCAUUGUUAGAAGAGAGGAGAUUACAUACGAGACAUAUACCAAUAGGUUUUCUCUUCAUAAUACCUACAUCAUCUAGUAGCAUAACGUAAGGCAGAAUCCUUCAAAGAUUUUCACCUGAGCUUUUCUUGAGCAUCUCUAGACGGUCAUAUGCAGAAUAACAAUUGGGUUUUAGGUGUACCAAGUUCUUAGUAUGGAAAAAAAUAUUCUACAAAAUUUUGUCUCUACACAUGUUGAAGUUCAUCUCUCACUCCUCUCUACUCUCUUAUCUAUGCUUCAGGCAAAUGGAAUUACUUUUUUUCAUACUGAGACAUUAAAACAGGAAAUCCUUCUUCCUAGGACUUCUUUUCACUACCACUACCUCUACCCAUAGCAGAUCCACAUAAGACACUUACAUCCAAGACAAGUCAGAAUGAUUACAUAUGAAAGUUUUAAUUGCAUUGUAUGGGGAUAUUGCUGUGUUGUGAAUUAAAUAAGAAUUCAUAUUUUC
RNAcentral lists this long non-coding RNA (1779 nucleotides) under Pongo abelii (Sumatran orangutan). RNAcentral describes it as "lincRNA". Lineage: Eukaryota; Metazoa; Chordata; Mammalia; Primates; Hominidae. The record is from RNAcentral.